RNAcentral lists this ribosomal RNA (454 nucleotides) under uncultured bacterium. RNAcentral's name for it is "partial 16S ribosomal RNA". It matches the Rfam family "Bacterial small subunit ribosomal RNA", at positions 28 to 507 of the family's 1533-position model. The record is from RNAcentral.
GAUGAACGCUGACAGAAUGCUUAACACAUGCAAGUCAACUUGAACUUCGGUUUGGGUGGCGGACGGGUGAGAAACGCGUAAAGAACUUGCCUCACAGAUAGGGACAACAUUUGGAAACGAAUGCUAAUACCUGAUAUUAUGAUUAUAUGGCAUCGUAUAAUUAUGAAAGCUAUAUGCGCUGUGAGAGAGCUUUGCGUCCCAUUGGCUAGUUGGAGAGGUAACGGCUCACCAAGGCGAUGAUGGGUAGCCGGCCUGAGAGGGUGAUCGGCCACAAGGGGACUGAGACACGGCCCUUACUCCUACGGGAGGCAGCAGUGGGGAAUAUUGGACAAUGGACCAAGAGUCUGAUCCAGCAAUUCUGUGUGCACGAUGAAGUUUUUCGGAAUGUAAAGUGCUUUCAGUUGGGAAGAAAAAAAUGACGGUACCAACAGAAGAAGUGACGGCUAAAUACGUG